RNAcentral lists this ribosomal RNA (616 nucleotides) under uncultured bacterium. RNAcentral's name for it is "bacterial SSU rRNA". It matches the Rfam family "Bacterial small subunit ribosomal RNA", at positions 79 to 689 of the family's 1533-position model. The record is from RNAcentral.
CUUGCUUCUCUUGAGAGCGGCGGACGGGUGAGUAAUGCCUAGGAAUCUGCCUGGUAGUGGGGGAUAACGUUCGGAAACGGACGCUAAUACCGCAUACGUCCUACGGGAGAAAGCAGGGGACCUUCGGGCCUUGCGCUAUCAGAUGAGCCUAGGUCGGAUUAGCUAGUUGGUGGGGUAAUGGCUCACCAAGGCGACGAUCCGUAACUGGUCUGAGAGGAUGAUCAGUCACACUGGAACUGAGACACGGUCCAGACUCCUACGGGAGGCAGCAGUGGGGAAUAUUGGACAAUGGGCGAAAGCCUGAUCCAGCCAUGCCGCGUGUGUGAAGAAGGUCUUCGGAUUGUAAAGCACUUUAAGUUGGGAGGAAGGGUUGUAGAUUAAUACUCUGCAAUUUUGACGUUACCGACAGAAUAAGCACCGGCUAACUCUGUGCCAGCAGCCGCGGUAAUACAGAGGGUGCAAGCGUUAAUCGGAAUUACUGGGCGUAAAGCGCGCGUAGGUGGUUUGUUAAGUUGGAUGUGAAAUCCCCGGGCUCAACCUGGGAACUGCAUUCAAAAACUGACUGACUAGAGUAUGGUAGAGGGUGGUGGAAUUUCCUGUGUAGCGGUGAAAAUGC